UACGUAGGGUGCAAGCGUUAAUCGGAAUUACUGGGCGUAAAGCGUGCGCAGGCGGUGAUGUAAGACAGUUGUGAAAUCCCCGGGCUCAACCUGGGAACUGCAUCUGUGACUGCAUUGCUGGAGUGCGGCAGAGGGGGAUGGAAUUCCGCGUGUAGCAGUGAAAUGCGUAGAUAUGCGGAGGAACACCGAUGGCGAAGGCAAUCCCCUGGGCCUGCACUGACGCUCAUGCACGAAAGCGUGGGGAGCAGACAGG
This 253-nucleotide ribosomal RNA is filed under the name uncultured bacterium. RNAcentral describes it as "partial 16S ribosomal RNA". It matches the Rfam family "Bacterial small subunit ribosomal RNA", at positions 524 to 776 of the family's 1533-position model. The record is from RNAcentral.